GACGAACGCUGGCGGCGUGCUUAACACAUGCAAGUCGAACGGAAAGGCCCUGCUUUUGUGGGGUGCUCGAGUGGCGAACGGGUGAGUAACAUGUGAGUAACCUGCCCUUGACUUUGGGAUAACUUCAGGAAACUGGGGCUAAUACCGGAUAGGAGCUCCUGCUGCAUGGUGGGGGUUGGAAAGUUUCGGCGGUUGGGGAUGGACUCGCGGCUUAUCAGCUUGUUGGUGGGGUAGUGGCUUACCAAGGCUUUGACGGGUAGCCGGCCUGAGAGGGUGACCGGCCACAUUGGGACUGAGAUACGGCCCAGACUCCUACGGGAGGCAGCAGUGGGGAAUAUUGCACAAUGGGCGGAAGCCUGAUGCAGCAACGCCGCGUGCGGGAUGACGGCCUUCGGGUUGUAAACCGCUUUCGCCUGUGACGAAGCGCGAGUGACGGUAAUGGGUAAAGAAGCACCGGCUAACUACGUG
Molecule: ribosomal RNA, 468 nt
Filed under: uncultured bacterium
Lineage: Bacteria
Description: partial 16S ribosomal RNA
Rfam family: Bacterial small subunit ribosomal RNA
Source: RNAcentral